AGUCCCUGUCUUCAAGCAAAAGUGCUCACUGCAUUUCAGAUCUUCUCGGAGGAAGAGUCCAGCCUCACCUAAGACACUCACCUGCACAAUGAAUGACACGUGACAUUGUCAUGGCAGCUUUUGUCCUGACCUAGCCUUAGGUAGCACUGACAAAUCCACUGCGUGCUCACUAUUGGGUCAUUUGACAUUUGGAAUCGGUGACCUGACAACACUGCCGUACGGAAAGGCUAACGGAAACAGAGGCUGCAGCCACAGCCCAGGAACGGUGGUCUUUCGCACACAUGGGGCAGCCUCUGCCACAACUUUUUCUUCCAAGGAAAUCAACACAAAUGAAAACUGGCUGAUGCUCUGGUCCACCAGAGGCUGAAGAAGAAAACCGCAAAAUGGAGACUGCCCAAUUCUAAUUUAAUUCAGAAGAACAAACAGGGCAUCACUCAGCGGACUUCAAAUCCCCAGUCAGAAGAUUUUGCCCGUGGAGCAAAUCGUUUCAUGGGCCAUCUACCCCACCUACUCCCUCCUGCCACAGCAAGGAGGUGAAAAUAGCUCAUGAAGCCAUGGGGAGUUCAAAGUGGAACUGUGAAGUUUCCCAAGCUCCAUGCAGGUCACUGAAGUCCACCCUGCAAACAACAGUCCUUCACCUUCUGAAGACCUGUCACCUAUGAAGCAGCAAGGAAGGAAUUUCUUGGCUCUGCUUCCUGGCAGUCAUUACCUGUGAUCUUCUAUCCCAAUUGGUUGACCCUAGCAACUGAGCCCCAUGAAAUAUGUAUUUAGUGGACUGAAUGAAUUGGACAAUUGAAUCAGAAAAAGCAACAAGAACUCCCAAGGUUAAAACAAGUCCAGGACUACACUCCUCUCUUCCUGCCUCUCCACAUUGAUCUGCAGCUUCUAGAGAAGACUGAGCAAAGAGAUGCUGGUGUCUUUGACUUCAGGGAAGAGCAAUGUCAAGGAGAGAGGCCAGCAGAUUUUUUUAAAUCUCUAUUCACCUGUCACUGUCCAGCCUGCCAUUGUGGUGGGUGAAGACAACAUUUAGGGAUUCUAGUGCUAGUAGGAUACAAACAACAUUUCUAUUUUGUUAUUAAGUAAAUAAAUACCACUCUUUAUCAACCUGCUCCUUCCUGGCGUGCAGAAUGACUUAUAGCUAAGGUAAAUGGUCGCUCAGGAACUCAUAGCACGUACCCACUUCCAGGUAGCUUCAGCUGAGCAUUCAGCACAACACAGCAUAAGGGCUAACAGUGAGCAGAAAGCCCCAAAACUCAGCACCUGUCUUUUUAGUAUCUCAUAGAGAAAAAUAAAUGCAGAAAGCAUAUUGAAAGUGGGGAAAGCAUGCAGUCUUCUGAGGUUAGGGCCAGGCUGCAGCAACAGCUAUGGUUGGCUGGACUCCCUGACACCAAAGAAGAAAAUGCUGUAUGCUUUCAAGGAGCCUUCUGGAGUACUGAGCUAGGACAUAAAAACAUUCAACUGCUCUUGCCAUUUGAAUGGGGAAAUAUAUGGUUCUAGGCCUGCAGCAAGAAAAGUGGUGCAUUCCACCCAGCAUUCUCAUUCUAAAAUGCAAAUUGGAUCACGUCUGUCUUCAGCUUCAUGGUAUUCAUUGGUUUUAGAUGAAUUGCAAAGUCUUUAACAUCGCAGAGAAGGCUUUUUCUGGUCUGACCGCAGCCUAUUUCCCCAGGUUUAUCUCUCACUCCAUCCCAUACCUGCACUGGCCUUCUGUUUUCUAAUUAUCUUACUGACCUGCCAUUCCCAGAACCCACCAUGUUUUCUCUUAUACCUGGAUUUUGCACAUGCUGUUCCCUCUACCUGGAACAUAUUUUCCCCACCCAUCCAUUCUCUGGCUAACUGUUACUGGACUGAAAAGCAUAUCACAGAAAACAAACAGUACCAGCUGUCAGCGGACAGUUUUUGCAUUGUAUUAAUAUUUUCUUUCUCUGAAGCUCCAGAGACCAAAAAUGUACAAAACAACAAAUCAAGCAACCUCACAUGGUAAAUAAUUUUUCACCAAUAAAUGUUAAAUAUAGUUCAUAUAUGCUUAUAUUAUACAAGUCUUCUAGGAAGACAGACAUUAACGAUGCAAAUUUUAAAGUUCAUUUCUUUAAAAAAAUCCAUGUAUAAUAUUAGCAGAUUAUUCUUUUUGGAGUCAGAUAUAUGCGGCUUUGAGUAUCAGCGCUGCCACUUACUAGCAGUAUGAUGUUAUGCAAAUUAUCAACCCCUUUGUGCCCCAACCUUCUCAUCUGCAAAGUGGAAAUCAUCCUAGCACCUGCCUGAUGGACGUCUUGUGAGGAUCAAAUGAGAUGAUAAGAAUGAAGUGCCCUGUGCUACUUACCAGGCAUGCAGUGUACUCAGUCAACUCAAUGAAUGAUCACUGUUACCAUCUUCAUUGUUGUCAUCAUCAUCAUCAAUAUGUAUCAAGAGCCCUGCUGCAUCUUUCUCUGGUGGCUCCUGGUGCUUUAAAACUUGAUAUGCUCAUUCCAUUCUGCAGCUACCAAAGCCUUUUGAGGGUUAACCUAACCUUGAUCACUCCUGAAGAGCAUCCAACCACCACCUUCAUCUUGGGCAACAGGAAACUACAGGGCUCUUCUCAGGUGGUUAUUCCCAGGAGGGGGAAACUUACUAAGACAUACCAGAGGUCCUAAUCAACAGAAUAAUUAAAAAGGGAGGCAGCCCUCUUCUGCAAUCCCUGACAUCUAAA
Molecule: long non-coding RNA, 2683 nt
Organism: Homo sapiens (human)
Lineage: Eukaryota; Metazoa; Chordata; Mammalia; Primates; Hominidae
Product: long intergenic non-protein coding RNA 2097
Source: Ensembl